UUAAUGGGGUUUAUUAUUUUGUUUAACUGACUAAUGUAUUGGGGUAUUUUCAGUUUAAACAGUGAAUUAUCCGGGUAGAAGUCGGUAGAGCCAGAAACUCGCUUUUGAUGUUGCUGUGCCCCCUAGUGGCGAGCUGGAUUCUAAAUCGUGCCCUUUAUUCCCUGCAGCCCUGAAGUUCAGUCCAUCUUGAAAAUUUCCCAACCUCAGGAGCCUGAGCUUAUGAAUGCCAACCCUUCUCCUCCACCAAGUCCUUCUCAGCAAAUCAACCUUGGCCCGUCGUCCAAUCCUCAUGCUAAACCAUCUGACUUUCACUUCUUGAAAGUGAUCGGGAAGGGCAGUUUUGGAAAGGUUCUUCUAGCAAGACACAAGGCAGAAGAAGUGUUCUAUGCAGUCAAAGUUUUACAGAAGAAAGCAAUCCUGAAAAAGAAAGAGGAGAAGCAUAUUAUGUCGGAGCGGAAUGUUCUGUUGAAGAAUGUGAAGCACCCUUUCCUGGUGGGCCUUCACUUCUCUUUCCAGACUGCUGACAAAUUGUACUUUGUCCUAGACUACAUUAAUGGUGGAGAGUUGUUCUACCAUCUCCAGAGGGAACGCUGCUUCCUGGAACCACGGGCUCGU
Molecule: small RNA, 615 nt
Filed under: Pongo abelii (Sumatran orangutan)
Lineage: Eukaryota; Metazoa; Chordata; Mammalia; Primates; Hominidae
Description: retained intron
Source: RNAcentral